Acinonyx jubatus (cheetah) is the source of this 1634-nucleotide RNA transcript. It is a transcript of the gene named transmembrane protein 150B, with no coding region annotated. The transcript has 9 exons. The record is from RefSeq and is a predicted model, not a curated record. Lineage: Eukaryota; Metazoa; Chordata; Mammalia; Carnivora; Felidae.
GAGGGCCUGGAGACCUAGAUUCCUGGGUCCACAGGAAGCAGGAUGAGGCCAGGGCCCAAAGGUCUGAUCACCAAGAGGGAAGGAAACCAGAAAUCUGAGGGUUGCCAUGUGGAAGACACAGCAGAAUGGUCCGGGCAGAGGAAGCAAUUGCUUUCGGGGAAGGCUCAUCGGAUGAGAUGUCAACACCAAGGUCUCCCUUCCCACCCACCCUGAGCCUGCCCACCGGGGAAUUCCAGCAGCUGUCCAGAGGAAGGGAGAGGGGAAGGCAAGUGAGGGCGAGGAGGCCGGGUCAGCAAGGCCCUACGUCCAGCAGCAUAAGGACGGAAACUACUCUUAGCACAGAGUCUGACCCGUGGGCCUGGAUUCUGAGGUCCCAGAGGAGCCUCCCGGGCUGGACUUUGGCUCUGCCACAGCACCACCCAGCUCCACGCCCGUCCCCUGCUCCCUUUUCAACCUCUCCCACAGCCCCCAGGCCCAGGACUCGGGAGUGCCAGAGGGAGCAGGUUCAGGACAGGGCAGGUUCCUCACUGGAGAAAGAGAAAGAGAGAAAGAGAGAGGAAGAGAGAAAGAGAGAGGUUCGUGGCUCUCUACUUGCGCUGCAGAGCCCGGCAUGUGGGGCUACCUGUCCCUGCUGCCUGCUUUCCUGGCCGUCUGGGCUAUCACUGGAGUCUGGACUGUUGGCCAACAGGGCUGUGAACCUCACCGAGGGUUUCCCCUAUAUCAGAGCUGCAUCUUCAGCCAGCUGCUCAACAUGGGAGCUGCUAUGGGAGUCCGGGUCCGGGGCUCCCGCCCACUUCCCUCUCCUCCCAGCCGCCUGGAUCUGCAUUAUCCGUUACCACCAGCUCCGGGACUUGGGGGUCGGAAAGUGGUUUAACCUGCUGAUCCUGUGGACCGGACUCCUGUGUGCCCUGGGCACCUCCGUGGUGGGCAAUUUCCAGCAAAAGAACCAGCUGCCCACGCACCUGACAGGGGCCUUCUUCGCCUUCUUCGUGGGCAACCUGUACUUCUGGAUGCAGCAUUUACUCUUCUGGUGGAUGAAGAGCCUGCCCCAGCCUGGGCCUCCCUGGAUCGGGCCACUCCGCCUGGGCCUCUGCAGCCUCUGCACCAUCCUCAUGGUGACCAUGGUCAUCCUCCACUCCUGGCUGCUGCGCUCGGCCUCCGCCGCCUGCGAGUGGGCCGUGGCCAUGCUGCUGUUCACGCUCUUUGGCCUGUUUGCUGUGGACUUCUCCGGCCUGGACGGCUGCACCCUGACUCUCCGGCCGGGCCCCAGCCUCAGCUCUCCACCCGCCUCCCCCCUCUCCCUGCAGAUCCCCCUGUGAACGGCAGUCCGCUCGGUGUGGUCUGACCCCGGCGCUGCGAUCGAUCGCGGCCACCCGGGAAAGACACGGACGCAGGCAGGGUCACGCGAAACCAGAAUUCCUUCCGGAGAGCAAAUCCGUACAGAAGGUUGUUGAGGGAAGGGGAGAACCGGGGAAGGGGGGGCCCGGGGAAGGAGGAGUUGGGGAACACAGGGACAGAUGGCCCUCUCCGUCCGGAUCUGCUAAGCCACCCCAACCAGCCCCCGUCCCUCCCCCACCCCGCCCCGCAGAGAGAUUGAUCAAUAAAUAAAAUAAUAAAUUAAUCAAUAAAUAAAA